UACGUAGGGGGCAAGCGUUGUCCGGAAUCAUUGGGCGUAAAGAGCGUGUAGGCGGCUUGGUAAGUCCGCUGUGAAAGUCCAGGGCUCAACCCUGGAAAGCCGGUGGAAACUGUCAAGCUCGAGUCCGGAAGAGGCGAGUGGAAUUCCUGGUGUAGUGGUGAAAUGCGCAGAUAUCGGGAAGAACACCCGUGGCGAAGGCGGUUCUCUGGGACGGUACUGACGCUGAGACGCGAAGGCGUGGGGAGCGAACAGG
Molecule: ribosomal RNA, 253 nt
Filed under: uncultured bacterium
Lineage: Bacteria
Description: partial 16S ribosomal RNA
Rfam family: Bacterial small subunit ribosomal RNA
Source: RNAcentral